ACUCAAAUGAAUUGACGGGGGCCCGCACAAGCGGUGGAGCAUGUGGUUUAAUUCGACGCAACGCGAAGAACCUUACCCAGACUUGACAUGCAUUAGACAGGUGUGGAAACACACCCUCCCUUCGGGGCUAGUGCACAGGUGCUGCAUGGCUGUCGUCAGCUCGUGUCGUGAGAUGUUGGGUUAAGUCCCGCAACGAGCGCAACCCUUGUUCUUAGUUGCUAACGGGUGAUGCCGAGCACUCUAAGAAGACUGCCGGUGAUAAACCGGAGGAAGGUGGGGAUGACGUCAAGUCCUCAUGGCCCUUACGUCUGGGGCUACACACGUGCUACAAUGGCCGGUACAAAGGGUCCCGAUACCGCGAGGUGGAGGCAAUCCCAAAAAACCGGUCUCAGUUCGGAUUGCAGUCUGCAACUCGACUGCAUGAAGUCGGAAUCGCUAGUAAUCGCUGAUCAGCAGGCAGCGGUGAAUACGUUCCCGGGCCUUGUACACACCGCCCGU
Molecule: ribosomal RNA, 498 nt
Filed under: uncultured bacterium
Lineage: Bacteria
Description: partial 16S ribosomal RNA
Rfam family: Bacterial small subunit ribosomal RNA
Source: RNAcentral